GAUGAAGAACGUAGCGAAAUGCGAUAAGUAAUGUGAAUUGCAGAAUUCAGUGAAUCAUCGAAUCUUUGAACGCACAUUGCGCCCGCCAGUAUUCUGGCGGGCAUGCCUGUUCGAGCGUCAUUUCAACCCUCAAGACCCCUUCGGGGGACUUGGUGUUGGGGACCGGCACAGGGGCCUGCCUGCUUGUCUUGCAGCGCCCUCGCCGCCCCCGAAAUGAAUUGGCGGCCUCGUCGCGGCCCCCCCUGCGUAGUAGCACAAACCUUGCAACGGGAACGUGACGGCGGCCACUGCCGUAAAACAACCCAAUUUUAUUAGAGUUGACCGCGAAUCAGGUAGGAAUACCCGCUGAACUUAAGCAUAUCAAUAAGCGGAGGA
RNAcentral lists this unclassified non-coding RNA (375 nucleotides) under soil metagenome. RNAcentral describes it as "partial contains 5.8S ribosomal RNA, internal transcribed spacer 2, and large subunit ribosomal RNA". The stretch from base 1 to 120 matches the Rfam family "5.8S ribosomal RNA", at positions 35 to 154 of the family's 154-position model. The record is from RNAcentral.